Molecule: ribosomal RNA, 492 nt
Filed under: uncultured bacterium
Lineage: Bacteria
Description: partial 16S ribosomal RNA
Rfam family: Bacterial small subunit ribosomal RNA
Source: RNAcentral
AGUGAACGCUGGCGGUAGGCCUAACACAUGCAAGUCGAACGGCAGCACAGUAAGAGCUUGCUCUUACGGGUGGCGAGUGGCGGACGGGUGAGGAAUACAUCGGAAUCUACUUUUUCGUGGGGGAUAACGUAGGGAAACUUACGCUAAUACCGCAUACGACCUACGGGUGAAAGCAGGGGAUCUUCGGACCUUGCGCGAUUGAAUGAGCCGAUGUCGGAUUAGCUAGUUGGCGGGGUAAAGGCCAACCAAGGCGACGAUACGUAGCCGGUCUGGGAGGAUGGUCAGCCACACUGGAACUGAGACACGGUCCAGACGCCUACGGUAGGCAGCAGUGUGGAAUAUGGGGCAAUGGGCGCAAGCCUGAUCCAGCCAUAGCGCGUGUGUGAAGAAGGCCUUCGGGUUGUAAAGCCCUUUUGUUGGUAAAGAAAAGCAGCAGGUUAAUACCCCGCUGUUCUGACGGUACCCAAAGAAUAAGCACCGGCUAACUUCGUG